This 451-nucleotide ribosomal RNA is filed under the name uncultured bacterium. RNAcentral describes it as "bacterial SSU rRNA". It matches the Rfam family "Bacterial small subunit ribosomal RNA", at positions 791 to 1235 of the family's 1533-position model. The record is from RNAcentral.
UAGUCCACGCCCUAAACGAUGAGGACUGGCUGUUGGCGCUAUAGACGCGUCGGUAGCGAAGCUAACGCGUUAAGUUCUCCGCCUGGGGAGUACGACCGCAAGGUUGAAACUCAAAGGAAUUGACGGGGGCCCGCACAAGCGGUGGAGCAUGUGGUUUAAUUCGAUGCAACGCGAAGAACCUUACCAUCCCUUGACAUCCUCAGAAUGAUCUGUAAUCGAUCAGUGCCUUCGGGAACUGAGUGACAGGUGCUGCACGGCUGUCGUCAGCUCGUGUCGUGAGAUGUUGGGUUAAGUCCCGCAACGAGCGCAACCCCUAUCCUAUAGUUGCCAGCGGAUAAUGCCGGGGACUCUAAGGAAACUGACCCGCGCAAGCGGGAGAGGAAGGUGGGGGAUGGACGUCAAAUCAUCACGGGCCCUUAGGUCCAGGGGCUACACACGUGCUACAAUGGGU